Camelina sativa (false flax) is the source of this 776-nucleotide long non-coding RNA. RefSeq lists it as uncharacterized. NCBI's taxonomy places the organism in Eukaryota, Viridiplantae, Streptophyta, Magnoliopsida, Brassicales, Brassicaceae. The record is from RefSeq and is a predicted model, not a curated record.
UACAAGAAAAUAGCGGGCGGCGGCUGGUCGUAUUUGUGGUGCUUCGAUUGCUCACGAUAAGAAGAAGACAUGUCUGCGCCGGAGAGUCCUCUUGUCCCUGCAGCUCCCACGAAGAAACCCAAACCCGUCUUAGACAGAAGUCGCGGUCCUCCUUUUAAUAUCGAAGCAAGGUUUCCAAGUGAAGCUUAUCCUAUUGAAGCAAUCAUCGAAAACGAAGAAUUGGACUUCCUUCUAGAUAUUUACUGGCAGGCUUCUGCAGAAGGAAGAUGGACCUGCGACCGACAUCGACGGUUACCCCCUAUUUGUGCGCAACAGAUUAUACACCUUGAAAGAUAUCAAGGACGAGUUUGAGAAGCAGAUGGUUUCUGGUAUCUUAUCACUCCUGACCCAUCUGAUUAGGUUUAAGGAAUUGAGUUCGCCUGAAUCGAGCAUUUCCACUCUUGCUAAGAACCAUCUUUUGCCUAGUAGGAUCUAUCAGAAAUGUGUGACAUUGUUCCGUAAUAGAAGAUCCCUCAGCCCCACGAUACCUGCUGCUAAACUCAAACAUCUGAUAAAGUACGUUCUUGUGCUCACCCUACAUGUGGAUAAGUUCAAGACCGACCCAGAAGACAUAGCUAAAGAUCUGGGCUUGAGUACAUCAGCACUGAGGACGUAUUUUAAGGAACUUGGCUGCAUAUUCGUGUGUGAGGAAUCGAUUGCACUUGCCACCUUACCAGUGCCUCUCAAGCUUGGGGUAAAGAAGAGAAGACAUGAUUCAUGAUGACGAUCGUAAGCUG